GAUGAACGCUGGCGGCGUGCCUAAUACAUGCAAGUCGAGCGAACAGACGAGGAGCUUGCUCCUCUGACGUUAGCGGCGGACGGGUGAGUAACACGUGGAUAACCUACCUAUAAGACUGGGAUAACUUCGGGAAACCGGAGCUAAUACCGGAUAAUAUAUUGAACCGCAUGGUUCAAUAGUGAAAGACGGUUUUGCUGUCACUUAUAGAUGGAUCCGCGCCGCAUUAGCUAGUUGGUAAGGUAACGGCUUACCAAGGCAACGAUGCGUAGCCGACCUGAGAGGGUGAUCGGCCACACUGGAACUGAGACACGGUCCAGACUCCUACGGGAGGCAGAGUAGGGAAUCUUCCGCAAUGGGCGAAAGCCUGACGGAGCAACGCCGCGUGAGUGAUGAAGGUCUUCGGAUCGUAAAACUCUGUUAUUAGGGAAGAACAAAUGUGUAAGUAACUAUGCACGUCUUGACGGUACCUAAUCAGAAAGCCACGGCUAACUACGUG
Molecule: ribosomal RNA, 496 nt
Filed under: uncultured bacterium
Lineage: Bacteria
Description: partial 16S ribosomal RNA
Rfam family: Bacterial small subunit ribosomal RNA
Source: RNAcentral